This 233-nucleotide ribosomal RNA is filed under the name uncultured Duganella sp. RNAcentral describes it as "partial 16S ribosomal RNA". It matches the Rfam family "Bacterial small subunit ribosomal RNA", at positions 128 to 361 of the family's 1533-position model. The record is from RNAcentral. Lineage: Bacteria; Pseudomonadati; Pseudomonadota; Betaproteobacteria; Burkholderiales; Oxalobacteraceae.
ACCCUGGAGUGGGGGAUAACGUAGCGAAAGUUACGCUAAUACCGCAUACGAUCUAAGGAUGAAAGUGGGGGAUUCGCAAGGACCUCAUGCUCCUGGAGCGGCCGAUAUCUGAUUAGCUAGUUGGUAGGGUAAAAGCCUACCAAGGCAUCGAUCAGUAGCUGGUCUGAGAGGACGACCAGCCACACUGGAACUGAGACACGGUCCAGACUCCUACGGGAGGCAGCAGUGGGGAA